CAGAAACGGGACACCAACGAGACCAGGGACACGUGGACAACGAGAAUCGGGCAGGCCAGAGCGAGGCUGUCCUUGGGCACGGGGACAGCCCCGUGCUGCUCUGUGCCGCAGGCAGAGGGCACCGGGGAGGGUGGAGGGAGGUCCGGCUCAGUGAAGCGGGCAGGAGCCCCCACACUUCCUGAGUGGCUGCCCCAGGAGGCGUCUGCCUGCCUGGAUUUAAGACCUAAAAGUUAAAACAUCAGUGUGCAAGUACAGGUGAGUGAGGGUGGCCAGGCACUGGGAGGCUUGGGGUUAUCUUGGUUUCUGUUUUUACCAAUAUGUUUUUGGCACCAAAACAUAAAUGCGUAUGUUGGAGCUUUGAGUAUUUCAUGUGCGCUGCAGUGUGGUCUAGGUGACAGUAGCCGGGGAAGCUCGAGUGACGCUCCUGGCCGGGGAUGACCCUGGGGUGGCAGGUGGGCUGAAUCCAGGCUGGCUUUGUCCGGAGGGCUGCCUUCUCUCUGCCCCAUCUCUGCUGGAACCAAAGGGCGGGCCGGGGUAAGAAUGGUAAAUUUUGCAAGAAAUUGCAAGAUUUCUGCCCUUCUCCCAAUAAGAGCCUUUCUAACAAUGGGCUGAGUCUUUUGGGGAGGGAGGAGGCUGGGCCCUGACCUAGACCCUGACAUCUAGAGGCACAGGGUGCCCCACCACCCCCGAGGGAGGCGCUCUUAUUGCCUCAGCGUUUGAGUCGGGAAAGCCGAGGUGGCCACGGAGCAGCCACCCUGGCCCCGGGUGUGUCUGUCUGAGACCGGCACGAGGAGGCUUCUCGCCAGCUCCCCACCCAGGGGCUUGCAGGCCCCCUUCAAGGCCUCCUGGAAGAGAUUGUGUCACAAGCACAGAGAAGCAGUUGCUGGCAGCAUGCGCCCAGUGCCUGGGGAACAUGAGGCCCGAGCACUCGCUCUGGAGCGGGGCCACACGCUUCACCCCAGAACUGGAGCCCCUCCUGGAAGAAGACACAGGGAGGGAAAGGGGGCCGCCACCAGCCUUACCAUGACGUGACGUUGCGACUGGACCAAGCCUGGGGUAAAGGGAAAAACCACUGGGGGAGGGGUAAGGAGAUAGGCUGGACCCCGCCAGGGGGCAGCAGGGAGGCAGUGGGCAGUGGUCUCGGAGGCUGGUCCACUCUCACCUCCACCAGGAAGAAGACCUGGGAGGGGAGAACCACAAUACUGAACUCAGUGGCCCUAAUCCUCACGCACCCAGAGGCAGGUGCCAUGCUGGGCUUCUCUCCUAGAAAGAACCUGGGGCCCCUUAGGACUUCCCCAACCCAGGCAGCUUUUGGGGACAAGACUGAUCUGCCCCAGACAUCCAUGACUCGUGCCUUUAAUCUCCAAUCACUGGCCACACAGCACAGUGACUCAGGGUUACCUUGCAUGUGCAUGUGUGUGUGUGUGUGUCUGUGCUCCUGCCCCGGGGCUCUGGCAUGAGAGGCAGAGGCAGGAGGUCCCUCCAGCACAGCUGCCUCGGCACAGCCUGGCAGCACCCCACUCAACAUCUCUCUGCCUUCUGCUAGAAAAAUGAUCGCCAUGACUAGGCGACCUACAAGGUCUUCCUAUUCCUGAAAGUAACCAAUCAAAUAAAUCAUGCAAGGAGUCUGUCUUCCUAAAAUCUUAUAACCAUUUAUCCUUUUAAGUGACCCUUUCUAACAGUUUCCACUUCUCAUUCUGAUCUGAAGAACAAGGGAUUGGCUGCAGGUCAGCUUCAGUUGGAGAUGUCAAGUAAUGGAAGAUGUCCACUCAGCAGUCCAGAAGACUGAGGACAGUAUGCAUAAUGGAAAUGCUGAAAAAUAAACCACAUGUUACAAACAACUGAAUUAUUUGACCAAUGAAAUAGGUUCCUCAGUCACUGUGAAGCUCAGAAUGAACUCCCCAAGAAGAAAUAGGACAAGACUUAAAAUGAUCAUGGUUAAAGAUAAUUUUGACAAAGAAAUUUGGUCACUUUUUUCAGUUUACUCAACAGGUGCAGAGCCCAAGACAGAGUGCAGAGAUGUGAAGACAAUGUCUGGAGGAUCGGACCCCUCAGCACUACCAGGAGGCAGAGCUGAGUGAGGAAGGACGUACUGGGUGAAGCUCUGCCCACAGCUGCAACCUGGCCAUUGUGGGCACACACAUGUCUUCAAGCCUCACCAUGGCCACCUGUCUUGUCCUCAGAAU
Molecule: non-coding RNA, 2186 nt
Organism: Microcebus murinus (gray mouse lemur)
Lineage: Eukaryota; Metazoa; Chordata; Mammalia; Primates; Cheirogaleidae
Source: RefSeq, a predicted model, not a curated record